Molecule: transfer RNA, 101 nt
Filed under: Lepeophtheirus salmonis (salmon louse)
Lineage: Eukaryota; Metazoa; Arthropoda; Copepoda; Siphonostomatoida; Caligidae
Description: tRNA-Lys
Source: RNAcentral
UAAAAGAUAAUCUAAUAAAGAUGUUAAAUUUUUACUUUAAUUAUGGAAGGUCCUCUUUUAAUCCUCUAAUUAUUUAAGGUCUUGCAUUAGACGUUUCACUG